AGGCAUGGGAUCAAAGAAGAAACUUCUUUGUAGCAGCAUCCCAGUACUAGGACUUUUUGUCUCUGCAUGGAAAUCUGAAUAUAUUUAUAUGUUGGAGUGACAUCUCUACAGGAAGCCUAGAGACCUAACUGUUUGCUACAUGUCACCAAAGUUAAAGUGGCUACCUUAAUGAGCAGCCAGGAUGCCAUCAUCUCCGACCUGAAUGACAAUAACCUCCAAACCAGCCUUUGUAUACUCCUUCCUGCUGCUCUGCAGUCCACUUCCACAGACCAGCCAACUGAAUCUCCUUAUAGAUUCAUAAUGGCCAUCAGCACAAAGAUGUUUUAUCUGCAGUCAACCAGUCAUGUUUCAUGAUGGCAUCAAAAUAUUUGACAGUUUGGUCUACAUUUCAAGGCUGGUUAGAUGGGAGGUAUGUCCUGGUAUAUUAGUUAAUUUAGGUAUAUCUUACUGAUUUACAUUGCAUGAUUUAUCAGAUGCUAUUGACUCAUUCAAGUAAAUACAUUUAAAAAUUAUACCUUUUGCUCAUACUAGUAAUUGGGUCAGUCAUGCUCUUGAAGGAGGCAUACUGGGAGCCAUACAUUACCAGAGGCAGAGGAUUCAAUGGAUGUUUUCUGUUUUCUCUUCUUCGUGCUCUGUAAUUGAGACACAGAACAAAGGUAAUCUUUGCUUAGCGUAAUAAUGGAGAGUGACUAGACCAACAAAAGAUAUGUCAGAAUCAUUUGCAAGGGUAAAACUUACGAGUGUAUUUGUGAACCUGCUUGAACGCUCCAAUGCACAUGUGUCUGUACACAAUUUCUGGCCUAUUAACAUUUCCUAAUAUUUUAAGCCUCUGAAAUUAUUGUUAUAAUAUUUGGUAUCCUUGGGUAAAAAAUGACAUUUAACUAUAAAAAGAAUAUUUCAUCAAUCAUUUAAAAGUUGCCAUUAUUUUCUUUAUAAGUCUAUGGAUGAUAACAAAAAUAAAA
This 962-nucleotide long non-coding RNA is filed under the name Homo sapiens (human). Its description in RNAcentral is "long intergenic non-protein coding RNA 2327". Lineage: Eukaryota; Metazoa; Chordata; Mammalia; Primates; Hominidae. The record is from RNAcentral.